This is a long non-coding RNA of Paramormyrops kingsleyae, 465 nucleotides long. RefSeq lists it as uncharacterized. Lineage: Eukaryota; Metazoa; Chordata; Actinopteri; Osteoglossiformes; Mormyridae. The record is from RefSeq and is a predicted model, not a curated record.
GCAUAUUUAUAUAUAUUUGUGUGUUUACACGCUCGCCAGAGCCGCUGGACCGGGCACACGUGGAUCUCCUGCCGGGAUCCUGGUGUUCUUCUCCCUAAUUUGCUCGUCACAGGUGCUGAUUCCAGGCUUCACCCACUCCGGGCCUCCGUCACUCGUUCCCGGGGACGGAUGAGUGUGCCGGAGCCUCCCACACGCCGCGCCAGGAGGCCAUCUCCACAAACGUUUGCUUCUGUGACACAGGACCGAAGUAAAAGGUUCGAUUUGUUGAUCUCCUGAUGGGGGCACACUGACCUUGGCGUGCUUAUCUGGGGGGCACGACGAUAUUAACAAGGAGCUUUAAUAUCAAUAAAGUAGACCGACGGAGCCCAGGUUUGUCACUGCUGUCGCUGGCUGCCCCCCCACCCCCUCCAGGGCCCCCCAAGGCUCUGUAAGGCCUGGCAUUAUCAUGACAACAGCUGUUGCCUC